GGUAAUGAUUCAUAAUUAUCUUUAUUAAGAAUUUCUUCUUGAGCAAACCUGUUUAUCCUAUUCUUGUUAAUAUGACCUAGCGUACAAUGCCAAAGAUAGGCAUCCGUGACAUCAUCUAUUCUAGGAUAUUUAUUUGAAAUGUACUUUACAUUAGGCUUAGAUACAACAUAUAUACUGUUGGGUAUAAAAUACGCCCCAGUCGAAGUUUGUGAUGGGAGUGACCCUCCGGGGACCCAACUGACUUUCGACCUCUGGCAACAUCUCUUCAAACCUCCCGGGCGGCCGAGCCUCCGCCACAUUCCCAAGUUUUGCCGACGGACAGGACCCCGCCAGCG
RNAcentral lists this long non-coding RNA (335 nucleotides) under Elaeis guineensis (African oil palm). RNAcentral describes it as "long non-coding RNA (EGUI_LNC069588)". Lineage: Eukaryota; Viridiplantae; Streptophyta; Magnoliopsida; Arecales; Arecaceae. The record is from RNAcentral.